This 316-nucleotide ribosomal RNA is filed under the name Clostridioides difficile. RNAcentral describes it as "bacterial SSU rRNA". It matches the Rfam family "Bacterial small subunit ribosomal RNA", at positions 1 to 326 of the family's 1533-position model. The record is from RNAcentral. Lineage: Bacteria; Bacillati; Bacillota; Clostridia; Peptostreptococcales; Peptostreptococcaceae.
UUAUUUGAGAGUUUGAUCCUGGCUCAGGAUGAACGCUGGCGACGUGCCUAACACAUGCAAGUUGAGCGAUUUACUUCGGUAAAGAGCGGCGGACGGGUGAGUAACGCGUGGGUAACCUACCCUGUACACACGGAUAACAUACCGAAAGGUAUGCUAAUACGGGAUAAUAUAUUUGAGAGGCAUCUCUUGAAUAUCAAAGGUGAGCCAGUACAGGAUGGACCCGCGUCUGAUUAGCUAGUUGGUAAGGUAACGGCUUACCAAGGCGACGAUCAGUAGCCGACCUGAGAGGGUGAUCGGCCACAUUGGAACUGAGACA